AUUGAACGCUGGCGGCAUGCUUUACACAUGCAAGUCGAGCGGCAGCGCGGGGGCAACCCUGGCGGCGAGCGGCGAACGGGUGAGUAAUGCAUCGGAACGUAUCCUCGAGUGGGGGAUAACCCAGCGAAAGUUGGGCUAAUACCGCAUGAGCUCUGAGGAGGAAAGCGGGGGACCUGCGAGGGCCUCGCGCUGGAGGAGCGGCCGAUGUCCGAUUAGCUAGUUGGUGGGGUAAAGGCUUACCAAGGCGACGAUCGGUAGCUGGUCUGAGAGGGUGAUCAGCCACACUGGGACUGAGACACGGCCCAGACUCCUACGGGAGGCAGCAGUGGGGAAUUUUGGACAAUGGGGGCAACCCUGAUCCAGCCAUGCCGCGUGAGUGAAGAAGGCCUUCGGGUUGUAAAGCUCUUUCGGACGGAACGAAAUGGGCGGGACUAAUACUCCUGUCUGAUGACGGUACCGUAAGAAGAAGCACCGGCUAACUACGUG
RNAcentral lists this ribosomal RNA (486 nucleotides) under uncultured bacterium. RNAcentral's name for it is "partial 16S ribosomal RNA". It matches the Rfam family "Bacterial small subunit ribosomal RNA", at positions 29 to 507 of the family's 1533-position model. The record is from RNAcentral.